Molecule: long non-coding RNA, 524 nt
Filed under: Nicotiana benthamiana
Lineage: Eukaryota; Viridiplantae; Streptophyta; Magnoliopsida; Solanales; Solanaceae
Description: long non-coding RNA (NBEN_LNC038870)
Source: RNAcentral
UUGCGUUCAAGCCGUGAAAGUAGCCACAAAUGUUUGCAUUAUUGUAAGCAGUCUACAUCACCCUUCAGGCGCAGCCCUUCCCCCGGACUUUGCGUGAAUGCGAAAUGCUUUGUGCACCGAAUUACCUUUAUAUCCUUUAGGAUUUCUGGUCCAAAAAAGGGAAAACUAGAGGUUGUUCUAAAGAACGAUGCGCUAAGCUCCUGCUAUGCGCUGAGUCCGUGGAAGGGCCAGACCAAAAGAGUUUAUUGUACACGGCCUUCGCUACCUUUCUGCAAGAGGUUGUUCCCAUAACUCGAACCAUGACCUCCUGGUCACACUGCAACAAUUUUACCAGUUAUGUCAAGGUUCCUCUUCAGAGGUUGUUCUAGUUAUGACAUUUGAAAGGUAUUCAUAGUAAAGCUAUAUGUUAGUUAUGAAUUAAUCACUUCGAACAUUGAUCACCUGCAGAUAUUUCUUUAGAAAUGGAAAGUUCUAAUUGAUCAUCAAGCUUGAAAAAAUUCUCCUUUUCAAACAAGAUGUUGAUC